CGAACGGGUGAGUAACGCGUGAGGAACCUGCCUCAAAGAGGGGGGACAACAGUUGGAAACGACUGCUAAUACCGCAUAAGCCCACGGCUCGGCAUCGAGCAGAGGGAAAAGGAGCAAUCCGCUUUGAGAUGGCCUCGCGUCCGAUUAGCUAGUUGGUGAGGUAAUGGCCCACCAAGGCGACGAUGUCUAGGGGUUCUGAGAGGAAGGUCCCCCACAUUGGAACUGAGACACGGUCCAA
Molecule: ribosomal RNA, 238 nt
Filed under: uncultured bacterium
Lineage: Bacteria
Description: partial 16S ribosomal RNA
Rfam family: Bacterial small subunit ribosomal RNA
Source: RNAcentral